This 979-nucleotide ribosomal RNA is filed under the name Escherichia coli. RNAcentral describes it as "partial 23S ribosomal RNA". It matches the Rfam family "Bacterial large subunit ribosomal RNA", at positions 609 to 1591 of the family's 2925-position model. Lineage: Bacteria; Pseudomonadati; Pseudomonadota; Gammaproteobacteria; Enterobacterales; Enterobacteriaceae. The record is from RNAcentral.
UGUAUAAUGGGUCAGCGACUUAUAUUCUGUAGCAAGGUUAACCGAAUAGGGGAGCCGAAGGGAAACCGAGUCUUAACUGGGCGUUAAGUUGCAGGGUAUAGACCCGAAACCCGGUGAUCUAGCCAUGGGCAGGUUGAAGGUUGGGUAACACUAACUGGAGGACCGAACCGACUAAUGUUGAAAAAUUAGCGGAUGACUUGUGGCUGGGGGUGAAAGGCCAAUCAAACCGGGAGAUAGCUGGUUCUCCCCGAAAGCUAUUUAGGUAGCGCCUCGUGAAUUCAUCUCCGGGGGUAGAGCACUGUUUCGGCAAGGGGGUCAUCCCGACUUACCAACCCGAUGCAAACUGCGAAUACCGGAGAAUGUUAUCACGGGAGACACACGGCGGGUGCUAACGUCCGUCGUGAAGAGGGAAACAACCCAGACCGCCAGCUAAGGUCCCAAAGUCAUGGUUAAGUGGGAAACGAUGUGGGAAGGCCCAGACAGCCAGGAUGUUGGCUUAGAAGCAGCCAUCAUUUAAAGAAAGCGUAAUAGCUCACUGGUCGAGUCGGCCUGCGCGGAAGAUGUAACGGGGCUAAACCAUGCACCGAAGCUGCGGCAGCGACGCUUAUGCGUUGUUGGGUAGGGGAGCGUUCUGUAAGCCUGUGAAGGUGUACUGUGAGGUAUGCUGGAGGUAUCAGAAGUGCGAAUGCUGACAUAAGUAACGAUAAAGCGGGUGAAAAGCCCGCUCGCCGGAAGACCAAGGGUUCCUGUCCAACGUUAAUCGGGGCAGGGUGAGUCGACCCCUAAGGCGAGGCCGAAAGGCGUAGUCGAUGGGAAACAGGUUAAUAUUCCUGUACUUGGUGUUACUGCGAAGGGGGGACGGAGAAGGCUAUGUUGGCCGGGCGACGGUUGUCCCGGUUUAAGCGUGUAGGCUGGUUUUCCAGGCAAAUCCGGAAAAUCAAGGCUGAGGCGUGAUGACGAGGCACUACGGUGCUGAAGC